This 258-nucleotide long non-coding RNA is filed under the name Lathyrus oleraceus (garden pea). Its description in RNAcentral is "Pisum sativum (pea) long non-coding RNA (PSAT_LNC022860)". Lineage: Eukaryota; Viridiplantae; Streptophyta; Magnoliopsida; Fabales; Fabaceae. The record is from RNAcentral.
GCCCACAUUCUUGCUAGUGUUUCCUUUAUGUCUUCAACCUGUAGAACAUACCUUCAUACACACUUCCUUCAAAAGAACAAACAAAUUAUUUUUGUAAAUCAACUUCAUUUUACAACAAUAAUUUUACCAUAUUUCUAAGUCAUGAACAUCGUCUACAGAAAAUAUAAAAUAGUAUGGCAUCGUGAUGAAGAUAGUAAAUAUGAAGACUUAUUUUUCUCUUCCUUACUCAUUCUAAAUAUUCUAAAUAUGACUAAGCCG